AUGGGAUGAAACAGCACAUUUUCCUACAGCAUUCAUCUCAUGCAGUGUUAGCAGCUUUGUCCUGUUGCUCGUGAUGGUCGUCUGACUUCAAUGUCUGCUCCUCCUCCUUCCUACUUUCCAAACCUGGUCGCAUGUUCAAGUCCAAUAUCCCACCUCCGACCACAGCGCUGAGCCUGCCUGGCCUAGGAGAAAGGGCCAAGGACCAUGCAAUAAAUGUGGCCGCCUCAUGGAGACAGGAUCCAUGAAUGUGAAAGAGAAGCCAAUAAAAAACACCCUUAGAGGUAAGCCAGGGGGCAGUGCCUAAUGUUUCGGAGGCAGAAGAAACUGGUACAGGCUGAGGGCUGAAGGGAG
Heterocephalus glaber (naked mole-rat) is the source of this 351-nucleotide long non-coding RNA. The record is from Ensembl. NCBI's taxonomy places the organism in Eukaryota, Metazoa, Chordata, Mammalia, Rodentia, Bathyergidae.